Molecule: ribosomal RNA, 394 nt
Filed under: uncultured Lactobacillus sp.
Lineage: Bacteria; Bacillati; Bacillota; Bacilli; Lactobacillales; Lactobacillaceae
Description: bacterial SSU rRNA
Rfam family: Bacterial small subunit ribosomal RNA
Source: RNAcentral
AACAGAUUUGCUUCGGUAAUGACGUUAGGAAAGCGAGCGGCGGAUGGGUGAGUAACACGUGGGGAACCUGCCCCAUAGUCUGGGAUACCACUUGGAAACAGGUGCUAAUACCGGAUAAGAAAGCAGAUCGCAUGAUCAGCUUUUAAAAGGCGGCGUAAGCUGUCGCUAUGGGAUGGCCCCGCGGUGCAUUAGCUAGUUGGUAAGGUAAAGGCUUACCAAGGCGAUGAUGCAUAGCCGAGUUGAGAGACUGAUCGGCCACAUUGGGACUGAGACACGGCCCAAACUCCUACGGGAGGCAGCAGUAGGGAAUCUUCCACAAUGGACGCAAGUCUGAUGGAGCAACGCCGCGUGAGUGAAGAAGGUUUUCGGAUCGUAAAGCUCUGUUGUUGGUGAA